AAGUCGAGGGGUAACGGGGAAGCUUGCUUCCGCCGACGACCGGCGCACGGGUGCGUAACGCGUAUACAAUCUACCUUGUACUGGGGUAUAGCCUUUAGAAAUGAAGAUUAAUCCCCCAUAGUCUCUUAGAGUGGCAUCACUUCUAGAGUAAAGGUUACGGUAUAAGAUGAGUAUGCGUUCUAUUAGUUUGUUGGUGUGGUAACGGCACACCAAGACUACGAUAGAUAGGGGCCCUGUGAGGGGGAUCCCCCACACUGGUACUGAGACACGGACCAGACUCCUACGGGAGGCAGCAGUGAGGAAUAUUGGACAAUGGAGGCAACUCUGAUCCAGCCAUGCCGCGUGCAGGAAGACUGCCCUAUGGGUUGUAAACUGCUUUUAUACAGGAAGAAACACCUCUACGUGUAGAGGCUUGACGGUACUGUAAGAAUAAGGAUCGGCUAACUCCGUGCCAGCAGCCGCGGUAAUACGGAGGAUCCAAGCGUUAUCCGGAAUCAUUGGGUUUAAAGGGUCCGUAGGUGGAUAACUAAGUCAGAGGUGAAAUCUUGCAGCUCAAACUGUAAAAA
This 566-nucleotide ribosomal RNA is filed under the name uncultured marine bacterium. RNAcentral's name for it is "bacterial SSU rRNA". It matches the Rfam family "Bacterial small subunit ribosomal RNA", at positions 59 to 621 of the family's 1533-position model. The record is from RNAcentral.